AUACGGAGGGUCCAAGCGUUAUCCGGAAUCAUUGGGUUUAAAGGGUCCGUAGGCGGGCAAUUAAGUCAGAGGUGAAAGCCCACAGCUCAACUGUGGAACUGCCUUUGAUACUGGUUGCCUCGAAUUAUAGUGAAGUAGAUAGAAUGUGUAGUGUAGCGGUGAAAUGCAUAGAUAUUACACAGAAUACCGAUUGCGAAGGCAGUCUACUAACUAUAUAUUGACGCUGAUGGACGAAAGCGUGGGGAGCGAACAGGAUUAGAAACCCUAGUAGUCC
This 274-nucleotide ribosomal RNA is filed under the name uncultured bacterium. RNAcentral's name for it is "partial 16S ribosomal RNA". It matches the Rfam family "Bacterial small subunit ribosomal RNA", at positions 523 to 796 of the family's 1533-position model. The record is from RNAcentral.